This 764-nucleotide long non-coding RNA is filed under the name Sinocyclocheilus anshuiensis. Its description in RNAcentral is "lncRNA (ENSSANG00000015479.1)". Lineage: Eukaryota; Metazoa; Chordata; Actinopteri; Cypriniformes; Cyprinidae. The record is from RNAcentral.
AGGUUUGUAGAAAUGCUCUAUACACCAGACAUUACAUCAGGUGUGCCUUUAACAUACUUUGGAUCCACCUGGAACGAAAUCAGGUAUUUGUGAGUCGUUAACGUAAAGCGUGCAUGCAACUUUAUUUCAGCUUUUCCUAAAUACUAGCUGUGAAUAGCGUUAACUGGCGGUGACCAUGUAACUUAGAGGAAAAGUGGAAAUUAGAACAUGCUCUGUAGUUCAAUGUGGUGAUUGUGGUCUAUGUAGUUAUGUCUUAAUCCAAUAUUUUAGCCGAUUUCCAGUUUAAGGUCAAACCGGAGAACGGAGCUUAUAGUUCCUGUAUACUUGAUGCAUUAGUUCCAGAUAUUAAUGACAUCAAAUGCAAAGGAGAUCAGCAUUUAUUAAGCAAGAGGGAAUGCAAUGGAAGGAUUUAAAUAAAAUCUCACUUCUAAGCGCGGCCGCUUGAUGAACCUCUGCUGCGGCUGUGAAUCCAGUUGCUCUGAAAGAUGAAGGAAGAACUCCAGUGAGUUUGAGUUUGCAUAGGAGCGCAUGUGCAUGGACCUCCGAGAGGCAAGAUGCCCAUGACCUGUGCCAAGAUGAUGCCAUGAUAAUGGUACUCGGAAGGCAGCUGCAUUCGGUUCCUGUGACUGGAAUUGAAUCAAAUGCAUAAUGGCGAAGUGAUAGGAAUCAUUGAACAAGAAUAAUCCUGGCAUUGAAUGUCUGAUGAAUUCAAUAAAAUAAUAAAAAAAAAUAACUGGAUAACUUUUGAGUCUGCUAUUAAUAUU